GACGAACGCUGGCGGCGUGCUUAACACAUGCAAGUCGAACGGAAAGGCCCUGCUUUUGUGGGGUGCUCGAGUGGCGAACGGGUGAGUAACACGUGAGUAACCUGCCCUUGACUUUGGGAUAACUUCAGGAAACUGGGGCUAAUACCGGCUAGGAGCUCCUGCUGCAUGGUGGGGGUUGGAAAGUUUCGGCGGUUGGGGAUGGACUCGCGGCUUAUCAGCUUGUUGGUGGGGUAGUGGCUUACCAAGGCUUUGACGGGUAGCCGGCCUGAGAGGGUGACCGGCCACAUUGGGACUGAGAUACGGCCCAGACUCCUACGGGAGACAGCAGUGGGGAAUAUUGCACAAUGGGCGGAAGCCUGAUGCAGCAGCGCCGCGUGCGGGAUGACGGCCUUCGGGUUGUAAACCGCUUUCGCCUGUGACGAAGCGUGAGUGACGUUAAUAGGUAAAGAAGCACCGGCUAACUACGUG
Molecule: ribosomal RNA, 468 nt
Filed under: uncultured bacterium
Lineage: Bacteria
Description: partial 16S ribosomal RNA
Rfam family: Bacterial small subunit ribosomal RNA
Source: RNAcentral